GAAUCCCGUGAACCAUCGAGUCUUUGAACGCAAGUUGCGCCCGAAGCCUUCGGGCCGAGGGCACGCCUGCCUGGGCGUCACGCAUCGCGUCGCGACCCCCCCCAGCCCCGCCCGGUCCGGGCGGCGCUCGGGGUGGGGGCGCGGAGACUGGCCUCCCGUGCGCGCCCGCCGCGCGGCCGGCCC
RNAcentral lists this ribosomal RNA (183 nucleotides) under Carlowrightia pringlei. Its description in RNAcentral is "5.8S ribosomal RNA". The stretch from base 1 to 80 matches the Rfam family "5.8S ribosomal RNA", at positions 77 to 154 of the family's 154-position model. The record is from RNAcentral. Lineage: Eukaryota; Viridiplantae; Streptophyta; Magnoliopsida; Lamiales; Acanthaceae.